GAUGAACGCUAGCUACAGGCUUAACACAUGCAAGUCGAGGGGCAGCAUGGUCUUAGCUUGCUAAGGCCGAUGGCGACCGGCGCACGGGUGAGUAACACGUAUCCAACCUGCCUCAUACUCGGGGAUAGCCUUUCGAAAGAAGAUUAAUAUCCGAUAGCAUAUAUUUCCCGCAUGGGUUUUAUAUUAAAGAAAUUCGGUAUGAGAUGGGGAUGCGUUCCAUUAGUUUGUUGGCGGGGUAACGGCCCACCAAGACUACGAUGGAUAGGGGUUCUGAGAGGAAGGUCCCCCACAUUGGAACUGAGACACGGUCCAAACUCCUACGGGAGGCAGCAGUGAGGAAUAUUGGUCAAUGGACGCGAGUCUGAACCAGCCAAGUAGCGUGAAGGAUGACUGCCCUAUGGGUUGUAAACUUCUUUAUAUGGGAAUAAAGUGGUCCACGU
This 440-nucleotide ribosomal RNA is filed under the name uncultured bacterium. Its description in RNAcentral is "bacterial SSU rRNA". It matches the Rfam family "Bacterial small subunit ribosomal RNA", at positions 28 to 460 of the family's 1533-position model. The record is from RNAcentral.